Molecule: long non-coding RNA, 270 nt
Organism: Dendrobium catenatum
Lineage: Eukaryota; Viridiplantae; Streptophyta; Magnoliopsida; Asparagales; Orchidaceae
Exons: 2
Source: RefSeq, a predicted model, not a curated record
GUUUGUACACAUUGUGUAUACUAACAUGUACGAACGUAACUCUACGUCCGGACUCUGCAAGGCUGUAGCAGUUGUCGCCAGCUUUUUUGUCCAAUUCUCCCCACUAAGACUAGCUUUACAAUUGCCGACAAUAAUACUAGCCUUACUGUUGGCUUGUGCUGCACUACCUCGUUGCAUCUGUAUGCCACUAUCAACAGCUGCUGCUCCAUUGAUCUAACUCCUACGUUGGAUCCUAUUAUUGCCACAACAUUCAAUAAAGAAAAUUAAUCA